This is a long non-coding RNA of Panicum virgatum (switchgrass), 3697 nucleotides long. RefSeq lists it as uncharacterized. Lineage: Eukaryota; Viridiplantae; Streptophyta; Magnoliopsida; Poales; Poaceae. The record is from RefSeq and is a predicted model, not a curated record. The transcript is spliced from 2 exons.
CGAGAAAAUGUUCUAUUAAUAUAGUACUUAAGCAUAUAGCUGUAUAAGCAUAUUUAUUCAGUAGUACUUGCUUGUCGACAACAGAUAUAUGAUCAGUAAAAAGUAGUGCUACUUAAGCAUAUUGCACUUCACAGUCAGAUGGAAUCUGCAUUUAAAGUGAUCGUAGCUCAGAUCAGACUCAAAGACUGCAUAAUGGAGCACAUAGCUGUAUAAAGACUAAGUUUUCUUUUCUGAGGAAACUGCAGUGGCCACCGAUGCAUUGCGACUCAUAGAACUGAAUAAUUAGUAAAACCAUGUAAUUGCUAUGGUCUUUGUCUCUUUGAUGAUUCUUUUUGUUUCAUGUGUCACUUUGUUCUUGUACUAGAACGAAAAACAGCAAAGAAAAGAUGCCAUUAGUCUCAAUAACUUAGGAUCUGCAGUACUGCAGUGUGCAGCAGCACAUAAAGUCAAUUUCAGUGCCCUUUCGAAAUUACCAUGAUUCUACAAUGUCCUUUAUCAAUUUUCUGGCCGUGUGCUAUUUCUAUGUGCCAUUUAUUCUGGCUAUAACUAUUGGGUAAUUUUAGCACAUCACAUAAUGCUUAGCAUAUGAGAUUGGUGUCUGGAUGAUGAUAUUUGCUCUGAUUUUCUUUUUUGCUUCUAAUUAUUCAUACAAUCAUAUUAUGCAAAACAAUGCUGCAGGGUAUCCCAUGAUCUGAUUCUAAUACAGUGUUGCUCAGGUGUGCUUUCUAUGAUAAGUAGUAUGUUGACAUUGGCAAGCAGCAAUAUUGGCUAGUAGAUAAGAGCUAUUAUAGUCAAUAUUAUUCUUGGGAUAUCUUUUAUUUAUAAGUUGAUGAUGUUGUUUCAGGCUUACAGGUAUGUGGUCCUGAAAUUUGAAGCACUCUCUUCAUCUUUUUCUUGGGUGUUGGUGACAGUAUGACUUUUCAAAAUCUCAUGCGCCUUUGUUAACUUGUAUUGUUGGUAUUAAUUCUGCUUCUUGCAUGUGAGUGCGUUGGAACAACAUAUUAUUGCCUGAGCAAGUUACAUUAUUACCAUUGGUUCACUUCUUCUUACAUGUGCCUGUCAGUGCGGGGCGUGCUUGUUGCACCAGCUGGUUAUUUCUUAGAUGGUUCUCUGAUCUGGAAAUGUCAAAUGUUGUCUGAAAAUUAAUCCCGGACCAAAUAGGACUGGCUCCUGAUACUGCUGCCUGCGACGGCCCUUCCAUGGUGCUCUAAUCCUAAUCCCGUCUAUAGUUCUAUUGCAAAUAAAAAAAGGGCCCUGACUUGAAUUGCUUAUUUUUAAUUCAAAUUCAGCAUCUGGGGUCUGCAUGUAAAGUUGGUUUGUUUCAGUUGGCUUGAAAAAUUAUUUUGGUUGCACGCUGUCAUCUAAUGUGAAAAAUUAUUUUGAUUGUACACUGCCAUCACUCUUCACUUGUAUCUGAUUCAUUCAGAGUUCUAUCUAUCAAUUUGUGUUGAACUUCUAUCAAAUCUUGGCUUUAUAAGUUAACUGAAUAUAUUUGAAUGGUUUCAGUUAAGUCAUCAUUGUUGUUCCCUGCUGCUACCUUGGUGUUCUGUGGUUUGAUCCCCUCUGCGCAUUUAUUCUAGGGUCAAUCCAUAAGGGUUUCAUGUAUAUUUGGUCCGAAUUGGAGGCUUGGCUGGUUAUAUUUCACUUAGCUAUAAUAUGUUUAGUUUUUAGUGGUUAUGAUGUUGUUCAACCAAUUUUUCUACUGUAAAGGAAGAACCAAAUCUCUACCAACAUACUCAGAGAUCCUUAGUUUGAGGUAUAAAUAUAAACAUUUUGCAAUUGGUAAUUGGACUUGUUUCCUGUGCAUGAAUUAAACUGGGCUACCUUUUACUACUUUAAAAAUUAAAAUAAUAGAAUAAAUACUUCAAUCAUGGAACAUAAGCAACAUACUGUAAUGACAGUGCAAUACAUUGUUUGGUUCUGAAAUCUAAAAGAGAUUGUCAUGUGCAAUUAAUCAAACAGGUUCCGAGACUGAUCAAUCCUUUUGUUUUGGGAUGGUAUGUGAGGUGGAAAUUGAACUUGCAGCAGCUGCCUACAUAUAUGUACAGUUUACUUGGACGUGUGUUGUCACUGAGUCUACAGGGAUGGAAGCUGCAUAGGGAAGUAUCUUUGCUGACAAGAUGAUUGGGGGAUUUUGAUUAAAGACAUCGAGUGUCGUCGUUUCAAUGGGUAUUUAUGGGGGUGCUUUUUAGCUGAAGCUCUUGUUUGCUCUCCACAACAUUCAUGUGUUCAUCAGUGGAACAUUUUUGUUACCACCGUCUUGUAUAUUGUUAGUUGUGAUCUAAUGAGAUUAUUAUUUUUAGAAAUGAAGAAAUACCCGUUUUGAGCUAUAUAAUUUUGAAUUUUAAUGGGGUUUCACAAAACUAAAAAAUAGGUUGUGCUUGCUUUAAUUUAAACCACAUACUUGAUUAUCCAUAUUUUCACAUGAUUUGUUUGUGCUUUGACACUAUUAUGUAAAUAAAUUAAUCUCAAAAAAUAUGUUUGCUAAGAUCAAUAUUAUUUUACCUAUGUUGUGCAUUGCGCUGAAAAUCUUUUGCCACCCGUAGCAAUGCACAAGCAUGAACCUAGUUAACUAUGUAAAAUAUGAGGAAACCUUGGUCUAUUUACAACUUCCAAAGAAAACACAAUGCAUCAUAGCCAUUCAGGGCAGUUAAUAUAGUUCACUCGAGGUCUAUUGCUGUUUUUUUUUCAUGAAGUCCAUGAGAAUGGUGAAUUGAUUCUUCGUAAGAAAAUGGUGAGCUCUAUAUGAAUUUCCUUUUAUUAGGAUUGGAAGCAAAAGCGUGUGUUUCACCUUUAGCCUUUCUGGAGAAAGCAAGGGUGAUGGUAUUUAAUUGCAUAGGUAACAAGGGCAAGCAAAAGGGAACUUUCGAUUUGAUCAAUGACAUCUAACAUAGUGUGAUCAAACACUUCUCAACUGAAGUAGGAAGCGAGCGAACACUGAUAUUGAUUUUGCUAUAUAUGCUUCCGUCUGUUUGGGAUUCUAAAUAUGUUCAAUUAUUGCAUUUCGAGGAUAUUUUCAAAAUGUGCAAGUACAUGAUGCUUUGUACAGAACUUUCAGUUGGAUCCAUGUAUGUUUGGAGCUGCUCCUCCAUUGAGCAUUUUCUGCUCUGAUUUCCUGAUCAGCUGAUUAAUCAUUUGUUCGUACAAUCAUACAGGUAGCAAAGCUUCAAUCCUAAAAAACUGAAUGCGUCCUGAUACUGUUGCAUGCUAACAAGAGGGUGGUAGCAACUGGCCGGGGUUCUGCGUGCGGUCUUGGAUGCUGUUUGACACCAACCUGGUAAUGGCCUUUCUGAAUUGUAUUGUAUGGCUGUCGGAGCAUUGCAUUGCCGGUAACGUUUUUGUGCAGAGCCCGCUGGCCUGGUUUCAUUGAGGAAAUGAAGAGAUUUUUCUGGUGAGUGGGUAGGGUGGGGAAGAGAGUAGGAGAGCAGGUGCAUGGGCCUGAACUGAAUAAACAAACAUCUCACAUGGGAUGCAUACCUGCAUUGUCCUGGAAGCCCACCACCCCUCUCAUCAUCUCUACACACAAGCACCAACAUGGUAGAUAGAUCCGUGGUUAAAGCAUGUGACUCAACGAAUUUUCACAUCAUUUUUGUCUCCCUUUUGUGGCCACCAUUAUGCUCUCACUAGGCACAUACAUUGCCUUUGAGAUUCAGAUCGGCGAAAAUUGUAUUUUAGUAAGAGUAUACUCCACAGUCCA